UACGAGGGGUGCAAGCGUUGCUCGGAAUUAUUGGGCGUAAAGGGUAGGUAGGUGGUCUCAUUUGUCUGGGGUGAAAGCCUUGAGCUUAACUCAAGAAGUGCCCCAGAAACGGUGAGACUGGAGUCCUGGAGAGGGUCGUGGAAUUCCCGGUGUAGCGGUGGAAUGCGCAGAUAUCAGGAGGAACACCGGUGGCGAAGGCGGGUCUCUGGGCAGUAACUGACGCUGAGGAGCGAAAGCGUGGGGAGCGAACAGG
Molecule: ribosomal RNA, 253 nt
Filed under: uncultured bacterium
Lineage: Bacteria
Description: partial 16S ribosomal RNA
Rfam family: Bacterial small subunit ribosomal RNA
Source: RNAcentral